RNAcentral lists this long non-coding RNA (667 nucleotides) under Ananas comosus (pineapple). RNAcentral describes it as "long non-coding RNA (ACOM_LNC017898)". Lineage: Eukaryota; Viridiplantae; Streptophyta; Magnoliopsida; Poales; Bromeliaceae. The record is from RNAcentral.
AAAUAACACAUCCUUUCACGAAUAGUGAAAUGACAUAUCUCUUUACAAAAGACAUAUUCUUUAAUAAAGGAUUCAUCUCUUUGUGAAGUAGUGUAUCUUUUCGUAAAGAGACACAUCUCUUCGCAUUAAAUAAAAAGACAUAUCUUUUCAUCAGAAUAACUACUAUAAAAAAGAGACAGUCAUUCAUUAAUUUACUUAUUCAAUUUAUUUACUCACUUCCUCUAUUACAAUAUACACUAACAUGGCAGACUAUCAAAUUUAACUGCUACCAUUUGUUAUGCCCCGAAACCCGCCUAUUUGGUCGGAUUCGAGCGCGCCGACAGACUGCCAAACGGACAGAGUUUCCCCUGUACGUCCAAGGCGUCAAAACUAUUUAUUACAAAAGGUUCCAACCAGGAACAGAUUUAAUACAUUGAUUGCAUAAGAAGGAUACCAAAAACAUAACCGCUAAACUAUUACAAGCAUUCAGCUCAUUUAUAUCACAUUUACAUCAUUUUACAUUCCACUUCUAAAUACAAUCCUCAUUACAGUUAUUACAAUUUUGUUCUUUGUUUACUAUUCUUUCCGGUACUCUAAGCUAUGCUGACUCGGGUACUGCUAUCUCUGGUCUCAAUGGUAGGGCGCUAUCUACUUAGCUGCGCCCUUUCCUCGCGCAGCCGCGCUGCUC